Molecule: ribosomal RNA, 592 nt
Filed under: Trichoderma harzianum
Lineage: Eukaryota; Fungi; Ascomycota; Sordariomycetes; Hypocreales; Hypocreaceae
Description: eukaryotic LSU rRNA
Rfam family: 5.8S ribosomal RNA (bases 203-356)
Source: RNAcentral
UUUUCAACGUGUGGCUCCCAACCCAAUGUGAACGUUACCAAACUGUUGCCUCGGCGGGAUCUCUGCCCCGGGUGCGUCGCAGCCCCGGACCAAGGCGCCCGCCGGAGGACCAACCAAAACUCUUAUUGUAUACCCCCUCGCGGGUUUUUUUAUAAUCUGAGCCUUCUCGGCGCCUCUCGUAGGCGUUUCGAAAAUGAAUCAAAACUUUCAACAACGGAUCUCUUGGUUCUGGCAUCGAUGAAGAACGCAGCGAAAUGCGAUAAGUAAUGUGAAUUGCAGAAUUCAGUGAAUCAUCGAAUCUUUGAACGCACAUUGCGCCCGCCAGUAUUCUGGCGGGCAUGCCUGUCCGAGCGUCAUUUCAACCCUCGAACCCCUCCGGGGGGUCGGCGUUGGGGAUCGGCCCUGCCUUGGCGGUGGCCGUCUCCGAAAUACAGUGGCGGUCUCGCCGCAGCCUCUCCUGCGCAGUAGUUUGCACACUCGCAUCGGGAGCGCGGCGCGUCCACAGCCGUUAAACACCCAACUUCUGAAAUGUUGACCUCGGAUCAGGUAGGAAUACCCGCUGAACUUAAGCAUAUCAAAAGCCCGGAAGGAA